AGAAUUUUAAUGGUCGAACAGACCAACCCUUAAAGACUACUACAUCUUUAGGAUAUUCUGAUUCAACAUCGAGGUCACAAACCUUUUUUUCGAUAAGAACUCUCAAAAAAGAUAAUGCUGUUAUCCCUACGGUAACUAAUUCCUUUAAUCAAUAAAAUUGGAUCAUAACCAGAAAGUCUAUAUAAAAAAAGAAGCUUCAUCUGUUCCUUAGUCGCCCCAACCAAAAUAACUUAAUAAAUUUUGUUUUAUAAAUAUUAGCAAUCUAUAUUAAUUUCUUUAUAAGCUCGAUAGGGUCUUCUUGUCUUUCAAUAAUAUACUAGGCCUUUGCACCUAAAAGUGAAAUUACAUUAAAUUUUAAAGAGACAGUUUUACUUCCGUCAAACCAUUCAUUCUAGUCCCCAAUUAUAGGACAAGUUAUUAUGCUACCUUUGCACGGUCAGAGUACCGCGGCCGUUUAAAUAUUUCACCGGGCAGGUCAGACUCCUUAUAGAUAUAUAAAUCAAGGAGCC
RNAcentral lists this ribosomal RNA (509 nucleotides) under Calyptraea chinensis. RNAcentral describes it as "partial 16S ribosomal RNA". The record is from RNAcentral. Lineage: Eukaryota; Metazoa; Mollusca; Gastropoda; Littorinimorpha; Calyptraeidae.